UGGGGGAUAUUGCACAAUGGGGGAAACCCUGAUGCAGCGAUGCCGCGUGAGUGAAGACGGCCUUCGGGUUGUAAAGCUCUGUCGCAGAGGACGAAAAUGACGGUACUCUGCAAGAAAGCUCCGGCUAACUACGUGCCAGCAGCCGCGGUAAUACGUAGGGAGCAAGCGUUGUCCGGAAUUACUGGGUGUAAAGGGAGCGUAGGCGGGAGGAUAAGUUGAAUGUGAAAUCUAUGGGCUCAACCCAUAGCUGCGUUCAAAACUGUUCUUCUUGAGUGAAGUAGAGGCAGGCGGAAUUCCUAGUGUAGCGGUGAAAUGCGUAGAUAUUAGGAGGAACACCAGUGGCGAAGGCGGCCUGCUGGGCUUUUACUGACGCUGAGGCUCGAAAGCGUGGGUAGCAAACAGG
Molecule: ribosomal RNA, 403 nt
Filed under: uncultured bacterium
Lineage: Bacteria
Description: bacterial SSU rRNA
Rfam family: Bacterial small subunit ribosomal RNA
Source: RNAcentral